Molecule: ribosomal RNA, 429 nt
Filed under: Actinomycetes bacterium
Lineage: Bacteria; Bacillati; Actinomycetota; Actinomycetes
Description: Actinobacteria bacterium partial 16S ribosomal RNA
Rfam family: Bacterial small subunit ribosomal RNA
Source: RNAcentral
UAGGGAAUCUUCCGCAAUGGGCGAAAGCCUGACGGAGCAACGCCGCGUGAGUGAUGAAGGUCUUCGGAUCGUAAAACUCUGUUAUUAGGGAAGAACAAAUGUGUAAGUAACUAUGCACGUCUUGACGGUACCUAAUCAGAAAGCCACGGCUAACUACGUGCCAGCAGCCGCGGUAAUACGUAGGUGGCAAGCGUUAUCCGGAAUUAUUGGGCGUAAAGCGCGCGUAGGCGGUUUUUUAAGUCUGAUGUGAAAGCCCACGGCUCAACCGUGGGAGUUCAAUGGAAACUGGAAAAAUUGAGUGCAGAAGAGGAAAGUGGAAUUCCAUGUGUAGCGGUGAAAUGCGCAGAGAUAUGGAGGAACACCAGUGGCGAAGGCGACUUUCUGAUCUGUAAAUGACGCUGAUGUGCGAAAGCGGGGGGAUCAAACAGG